AUUUACAUAGCUUAAUUUAAUAGAGCAUAGUAUUGAAGCUACUAAGGAAAACUCAGUUUUGUGAAUG
This 67-nucleotide transfer RNA is filed under the name Waoraniella jarlinsoni. RNAcentral's name for it is "tRNA-Phe". The record is from RNAcentral. Lineage: Eukaryota; Metazoa; Arthropoda; Insecta; Psocodea; Lachesillidae.